This 232-nucleotide ribosomal RNA is filed under the name uncultured bacterium. RNAcentral's name for it is "partial 16S ribosomal RNA". It matches the Rfam family "Bacterial small subunit ribosomal RNA", at positions 99 to 334 of the family's 1533-position model. The record is from RNAcentral.
CGGACGGGUGAGUAAUGUCUGGGAAACUGCCUGAUGGAGGGGGAUAACUAUUGGAAACGGUAGCUAAUACCGCAUAACGUCGCAAGACCAAAGAGGGGGACCUUCGGGCCUCUUGCCAUCGGAUGUGCCCAGAUGGGAUUAGCUAGUAGGUGGGGUAAAGGCUCACCUAGGCGACGAUCCCUAGCUGGUCUGAGAGGAUGACCAGCCACACUGGAACUGAGACACGGUCCAG